UACUCCUACGGGAGGCAGCAGUGGGGAAUAUUGGACAAUGGGCGAAAGCCUGAUCCAGCCAUGCCGCGUGUGUGAAGAAGGUCUUCGGAUUGUAAAGCACUUUAAGUUGGGAGGAAGGGCAGUAAGUUAAUACCUUGCUGUUUUGACGUUACCAACAGAAUAAGCACCGGCUAACUUCGUGCCAGCAGCCGCGGUAAUACGAAGGGUGCAAGCGUUAAUCGGAAUUACUGGGCGUAAAGCGCGCGUAGGUGGUUCAGCAAGUUGGAUGUGAAAUCCCCGGGCUCAACCUGGGAACUGCAUCCAAAACUACUGAGCUAGAGUACGGUAGAGGGUGGUGGAAUUUCCUGUGUAGCGGUGAAAUGCGUAGAUAUAGGAAGGAACACCAGUGGCGAAGGCGACCACCUGGACUGAUACUGACACUGAGGUGCGAAAGCGUGGGGAGCAAACAGGAUUAGAUACUCUGGUAGUCCACGCCGUAAACGAUGUCGACUAGCCGUUGGGAUCCUUGAGAUCUUAGUGGCGCAGCUAACGCGAUAAGUCGACCGCCUGGGGAGUACGGUCGCAAGGUUAAAACUCAAAUGAAUUGACGGA
RNAcentral lists this ribosomal RNA (591 nucleotides) under uncultured bacterium. RNAcentral describes it as "bacterial SSU rRNA". It matches the Rfam family "Bacterial small subunit ribosomal RNA", at positions 334 to 917 of the family's 1533-position model. The record is from RNAcentral.